AGAAACUUCGUAGAAAAGUCAUCAACCGACACAUUUAAAACAAAACACAUUCCAUUUGGCAAAUCAGUCAAAAAUUUCAGUGUUCACACAACAAAAAUCCAAAAAAAACAGAUAACAGCUAUGGUGUCCGGGUAGACAAUGGGCCUUGCUCAGAGUAUCGUCUUUCUACUCUCCGCUUUGUUAACUUUGUUGGCGAGUGCCAACGGCUGCACUAGAAAAGUCUAUAUCGCCUGUAGAAAACCAGCGCCCUGUGGGAAGUAAUUUCGGAACGCUAUGGCUAGAUUUGAUCUGAGCUUGCUCUUUGCUAUUCUGUUAACCAUGUUUUCUAUAAUCGCUAUGGGGAGUGCCUGCUGUAAGAAAAAUAUACCUUGUUCCGGCCGAGCACCCUGUCGCCGAGGGCCCUAUAGAAACUGAGAAUAAAUAUUUAUCGUUAUUGUCACAAACGCUAUAACAAAGUUCGAAGGUAUAACGACACUCGUAAAUGAAUAAAAUUAUCUCGUUCUGGACUUUUGGAUUCAGAGACGUCAUGACCUACAUUAGAGACUCGCACAGCAGGACAUCUAAGAUGGGAUUGUGAAUUUUAAAUUCAACACCAAAUAUACCGUACAGAACACAUUUUUGGCUAUUAUUAUUGAUGUAAAAGUAGACUUGGAAUAUUGUCGUUCCGGCAUAUGAUGAAAAUUUGGCGUCACCUUAUAUUUGCAGUGGCUGUAUUGUUAGAGAUUCUACAAAUUAUAAACGCCUGCGGAAGAAGAAACGUCGUUUGCAAACCUGAUAACCCGCCUUGUCGGAAAUAAUAUAAUUUAUCUCGUCAUCGUGCUAUGGACAAAGCGGUGGUCCAGGAACUCAUAGUGCUUUUGGUAACUCUUCUGCUGUCCUAUCUCGAGAGCUGCUACGGGUGCACUCGCCACACGUACAUCGAUUGUGACCCACGUAACCCGUUGUGUGAAAAGAAAGAAAAAUGAACUAUCUAAAUGAGUUUGUUCUCGUGUUUCUCCACAUCGCCGUCUCCAUACUGAAUCUGUCUCAAGGAUGUCGUAAUAAGAAACACUGCAAAGACCCGAACUGCUUUCCCUGCAACCAUUUUGGUGGGCCCAAAGUUCGUUCCAAGCUCGAGAUAAAGUGAAUACGCCAAACGAUGCAGUUGAAGAAGUUGUUUGGUGUAUUAUUCCUGAUGCUGGUGUACGUCCUGUCGUCUGUGGACUGCUGCAAGCGACGGCAGAACUGCCAGAAGUAUUGUCUGCCCUGCAAGUACAAGGGACCUAUCAUUGAAGUACUGUAUCCUAAAGAGAAAGAGUGGCGGCUAUUGCAAAAAUAAUUAUACAGCGCUAAACGAGAUAUUUGUCAAUACGAUUAAUCGUAUAGAGCUAUUAUAUAUUUAAUUACUUUACUUUGGUUCGAGAAAUUAAAAAAAAAAAUUAAAGUACCGUAAAUGUAAAAAAAUAUUUGUGAACCAAAAAAAAAAAUAUAUAUAUAUAAUUUUCAUAUAAGAAAUUUUUAAGUCCAUUUUGUUUAACAGAUAAAUGAAAUAAAUAACUAUAGUAAU
Danaus plexippus (monarch butterfly) is the source of this 1546-nucleotide long non-coding RNA. RefSeq lists it as uncharacterized. The record is from RefSeq and is a predicted model, not a curated record. The transcript is spliced from 9 exons. Lineage: Eukaryota; Metazoa; Arthropoda; Insecta; Lepidoptera; Nymphalidae.